GACGAACGCUGGCGGCGUGCCUAAUACAUGCAAGUAGAACGCUGAAGCGAGGAGCUUGCUCUUCUUGGAUGAGUUGCGAACGGGUGAGUAACGCGUAGGUAACCUGCCUUGUAGCGGGGGAUAACUAUUGGAAACGAUAGCUAAUACCGCAUAACAAUGGAUGACACAUGUCAUUUAUUUGAAAGGGGCAAUUGCUCCACUACAAGAUGGACCUGCGUUGUAUUAGCUAGUAGGUGAGGUAACGGCUCACCUAGGCGACGAUACAUAGCCGACCUGAGAGGGUGAUCGGCCACACUGGGACUGAGACACGGCCCAGACUCCUACGGGAGGCAGCAGUAGGGAAUCUUCGGCAAUGGGGGCAACCCUGACCGAGCAACGCCGCGUGAGUGAAGAAGGUUUUCGGAUCGUAAAGCUCUGUUGUAAGUCAAGAACGAGUGUGAGAGUGGAAAGUUCACACUGUGACGGUAGCUGACCAGAAAGGGACGGCUAACUACGUG
This 497-nucleotide ribosomal RNA is filed under the name uncultured bacterium. RNAcentral's name for it is "partial 16S ribosomal RNA". It matches the Rfam family "Bacterial small subunit ribosomal RNA", at positions 28 to 507 of the family's 1533-position model. The record is from RNAcentral.